This 460-nucleotide ribosomal RNA is filed under the name uncultured bacterium. RNAcentral describes it as "partial 16S ribosomal RNA". It matches the Rfam family "Bacterial small subunit ribosomal RNA", at positions 338 to 795 of the family's 1533-position model. The record is from RNAcentral.
CCUACGGGUGGCAGCAGUGAGGAAUAUUGGUCAAUGGGCGCGAGCCUGAACCAGCCAAGCCGCGUGAAGGAUGACUGCCCUACGGGUUGUACACUUUUUUUUUAAAGGAAUAAAGUGAGGCACGUGUGCCUUUUUGUCUGUCCUUUAUGAAUAUGGCUCGGCUAACUCCGUGCCAGCAGCCGCGGUAAUACGGAGGAUCCGAGCGUUAUCCGGGUUUCUUGGGUUUAAAGGGAGCGUAGUUGGGUUGUUAAGUCAGUUGUGAAAGUGUGGGGCUCAACCGUAAAAUUGCAAUUGAUACUGGCAGGCUUGAGUACAGUAGAGGUAGGCGGAAUUCGUGGUGUAGCGGUGAAAUGCGUAGAUAUCACGAAGAACACCGAUGGCGAAGGCAGCUUACUAAACUGCCACUGACAUUGAUGCUCGAAAGUGUGGGUAUCAAACAGGAUUAGAUACCCCUGUAGUC